This is a long non-coding RNA of Lolium rigidum, 276 nucleotides long. RefSeq lists it as uncharacterized. The record is from RefSeq and is a predicted model, not a curated record. The transcript has 4 exons. Lineage: Eukaryota; Viridiplantae; Streptophyta; Magnoliopsida; Poales; Poaceae.
CCUCCGUCUGCUCCCAGCUCCUCCAAGGCCAGCUCCUCCAAGGUCCAGCUCCUCCAAGGUCAAGCUCAUCCAAGGCCCAGCUCGACCGCGUUUCCUCCUAGAAUCCUGAAGGUUUUGCAUGAGGGUAACUUUGCAAGAAAUGCUGCAAGUUGUUUACAUUAAUCGGUGAGUCCGGCCAGCCACAGACCCGACCAUGAUCGUUGAUCUCUUGGGGCGUACGUUGUUUUAUUAAAGAGAUGGAGUGUAUAUACAUUCAGAGGUCAAGAAGGUCAAAUU